This 1048-nucleotide long non-coding RNA is filed under the name Homo sapiens (human). RNAcentral's name for it is "HSALNT0198782". Lineage: Eukaryota; Metazoa; Chordata; Mammalia; Primates; Hominidae. The record is from RNAcentral.
CUGUUUCAGAUCCACCGCAAACCCCCCGCCCCAGUGCUGCCCCCGGUCCCCUCACACUCUGGAAAGAUUUGCCGGAGCCACUCUGUCCUUUUCUUUAGUGCAGCUGCUGGCUGAUAAACCUGCUCCUGCUCUCUCUAAGGCAAGGCCAAGCACAGCUCCUUUCCCCUAGGGCAUGUGCCUUUGCACUGCCCGAGGCUGCUCCUUGGUCCCAAGUCCACAGUACUUUGCUUCUCAGGACAGUUUUCCAUUCUCAGUUGGUAUUUGAGAUGUUAAGAAUGGAAACGCUGAUUCCCCUCAGACCCGCUUUGCAGAUAACCCUGCAUUUUACCGAGAUGUCAAAGCAGGAAGUGCUUGGCUGGAACAUCUGCCGACAGCCUCAUCUCUUUCUGCAAGAUCAUGAUGUUCUGCAUGCUCCUGUGGCCUCUUAUUUCACGUUGCUCUCCCUGCAAAUUUUGAAACAACUUUAAAGAUGAAUAAAAAGCAGCUCAGCAAGUGAAUCCCAGAUCCCGGUAAGAGAGUGUCUCCCCCAACUCACAUAGUGAGUGCACAUCAUCCCCAGAACCACCAUGAGAGUGAGCCUGGUAGCGGGUAGCACCCUGCCUGUGACGAAGCCAGCACACUAUGACGAGCAGCAGCUUCUAGACCCAUGGACCACGGGCACUGCCAACGCUCUCCCUCCGGGGACUCCUCCUGCCUCCCAUACAGGGCCAAACUCCGACGCCCACGAGCUCGCUCAGAAUUGGCUCAGGCUGCAAUCACUUCUCUUCUCCUACCUCCACACCAUUCCCUGAUGGUGGACAGCUUCUCCUUUGAGAACCACACCUGCCUUUUCAGACAAAAGGAGACACCACCCACCCUCCUGCUGAGGGCUGCUCCCCUGGGGCCUUCUCAGCACACCUCUCUCUCUCUAGGUCAAAAAACAAAUUUCACAUGCUGAAUUUUUACCUUUUUUAAAGUGACUCCGAAUUUUGGCACCAGCAAUUAAUUCAACACUUGAAUAAGAUUUGAAAACCUCACAACAAAUCACAAAUAUAUUAUGGGUCCUGUU